Molecule: non-coding RNA, 294 nt
Organism: Aegilops tauschii subsp. strangulata
Lineage: Eukaryota; Viridiplantae; Streptophyta; Magnoliopsida; Poales; Poaceae
Source: RefSeq, a predicted model, not a curated record
UUUUGUGUGUUCCAUCAUUUCUGUCAAUUUCAGUUGCAUCAAGGGAUCCAGCGUAUUAUGGACUCGAUGAAGUUGAACUCUCCAGACGACGGAACUGGACUGGCUCUGCUCGUAAUCAGAUUGGUACUGUAAAAAGGGCUGUUGAAAAGGGGAAGAGCAAUCCUGCAAUGGCAAGACAUCAGGACAAUGGUACAAGCAGAACUAACUACUAUUCUUCCCAAGACAAUGAUGACUAUAUUGCUUCAGAAUCAGAUAGACAGCUUCUACUCAUGAGGCAGCAGGAUGAUGAACAUG